This 301-nucleotide ribosomal RNA is filed under the name uncultured bacterium. Its description in RNAcentral is "partial 16S ribosomal RNA". It matches the Rfam family "Bacterial small subunit ribosomal RNA", at positions 509 to 807 of the family's 1533-position model. The record is from RNAcentral.
CAGUCGCCGCGGUAAUACGUAGGGUGCGAGCGUUAAUCGGAAUUACUGGGCGUAAAGCGUGCGCAGGCGGUUCGUUAAGACAGAUGUGAAAUCCCCGGGCUUAACCUGGGAACUGCAUUGGUGACUGGCGAGCUAGAGUAUGGCAGAGGGGGGUAGAAUUCCACGUGUAGCAGUGAAAUGCGUAGAGAUGUGGAGGAAUACCGAUGGCGAAGGCAGCCCCCUGGGCCAAUACUGACGCUCAUGCACGAAAGCGUUGGGAGCAAACAGGAUUAGAUACCCCUGUAGUCCCUGUCUCUUAUAC